GAUGAACGCUGGCGGCGUGCCUAAUACAUGCAAGUCGAGCGCACAAGUGAGGAGCUUGCUCCUCUGACGUUUGCGGCAGGCGGGAGAGUAACACGUGGAUACCCUCCCUAUAAGACUGGGAUCACUUGGAGAAGACGGAGAUAAUACCAGAUGAUAUGUUGAACCAUGUGGUUCGCUAGUAAGAGGCGGUUUUGUUGUUACUAGUAGGUCGUGCGUCGCAUCAGUUAGUUGUUGGUGUAACGACUUACCAAGGCGACGAUGCUUAGCCGACCAGGUAGGGUGACCGGCAACACUGGACCGGAGACACGGUCCAGACUCCUACGGGAGGCAGCAGUAGGGAACCUUCCGCAAUGGGCGAAAGCCUGACGGAGCAACCCCGCGUGAGUGAUGAGGGUCUUCGGUUCGUAAAACCCGUUGAUUAGGGAAGAACAAAUGUGUAAGUAACUAUGCACGUCGUGACGGUACCUAAUCAGAAAGCCACGGCUAACUACGUG
RNAcentral lists this ribosomal RNA (494 nucleotides) under uncultured bacterium. RNAcentral describes it as "partial 16S ribosomal RNA". It matches the Rfam family "Bacterial small subunit ribosomal RNA", at positions 28 to 507 of the family's 1533-position model. The record is from RNAcentral.